UUUCUUUUCAAUUAUUGUGAGAGUGUGACUUGGGUGUAUUUGGGAUUUGGGUUGUGAGAGUUAAACUCUGUAAUUCCUAGGGUAGGUGAGAGGGUUAAUCUCCUUUGGUUGUAAUCUCUUUUGGGAUACUAGUGGAAUUUCUCGCUGUCUUCGAACUGGAUGUAGGCUACACACGGGCCGAACCAGUAUAAAUCCUUGUGUCGUUUGGAUUUCUGUAUUUCAUAGUUUGCUCUUGUUGUUUCAAUGGUUUCAUAUCAACCACCACAGUGCAAUCCGCUUCCGCUGCGCACAACAAGUGGUAUCAGAGCUCCAGUUCUUCGAUCUGGUGGAGUUUUGUGUUUGUGAUGAUGAAACCAGGAGACUUGUUGAGAAAAUAUGAAAUUAUUUUGACAGGAGAAAAAUUCCAGACUUUGGUGUUGAAGAUGAGAGCCUUGUUAGUGCAACAGGGGCUGCUCAAGAGGCACUAAAGGGUAUCUAAGCAUGGCCAGCAACGUGUUCCAACGAUGGAGAAGGAUGAUGUCUUGAAUCGGGCACUCACUGCGAUUGGAUUGCAGUUAGCGGACGGUGUUCUUCGUGAGGUUGCCGAUGAGACUGCACAUGCUGGGCUAUGGCUGAAAUGGUGGAGAAUACAUAUAUGACCAAAUCAUUUCCAAUCGGUUGUAUGCCAAACAACGAUUGUACACUCAGUGGUAUGGCGGAAGGUACACUUAGUCAAAACUAUCUUGUUGAGUUCAAUAAGAUUUUCAUGAAUGUGUAGGUCAUGAAUAUGAAAAUAGGAUGAUAAGGAUCAGGCAGUAAUGGAGGAAAAUCGCGUUCCAAGGUGAAUGUUCAGGAGGACAAAUGCAACUUUGCCACAAGGACGGGCAUUUGAGAUUUGAUUGCCCAUCAGUCAAAGAAAGAAAAAGAGUCUAAUAAUUCCUCUUGCAGGUGCUUUUGUGGAUGUCGUAGGGAGGAUAAAAUUUAUGUUCCUCCUAUGAUCGAUGAUUCCGGUGUGCCGUGCUUGGGGUGUGAUUUUUUACUUGUCUUUGGUGACUUUUGAAAUUUUCUUUACGGUGGAGUUUCAAGAGUUUUCGUGGGUGUUCCUUGUGGGUAGUGUGUAGUUUGUUGCUUUGAUUUUCUCUAUGUACUUUGGGUAGCAUUGUUUAUGGCUACAUGGGUUUUUCCUUUCAUCAUUAGAUUUUCAAGUGAGGGUUUUUUGAUUGUAAGGGGUUAUCUUUCGGGAGGAUGAUUCCCUCCUAUGACAGCUGAAAUUGUUCGUUCUGCUACUUGGUCGCCCGGGCUAUGCGUGUAUUGUAGCAGAAGAAGCUUGAGGUUCAAGCGUUUAAGGUUUGUGCGGUUUAUGCACGUACAUUCAGCUGGUGUGGCUUGGUUAUGAGGAUGACAUUGAAGAGGUUCUUCUGUUGGGGUCAUCCGGUUCGAUUGAAGCACACAUUUUCGGUUGCAAGUUCAAGGAGUGCUUGAGCUUGAUUUGGUAAGAGGAAGAUGAGCGAUAGAAAGUUCUACUAUGGCUUGGUAAAUUUGUGCCAAGGUGGAGAUUGUUGAAAUUGGCUCAAAUAUUAUGUUGUUUACUAUCUUUGUUGCGUUGCAUGUCAUCCACUUGGAGAAAGGAAGAGAUUGGUUCUUUCCUUUCUCAUGCAUUUGCCGAAAGCUACCAAAGGAAGAGAAAAAUGGGAAGCCACAAUUGUUGAAUGUUAGUGGCCAAUGAUAUUGCAUGGA
Prunus avium (sweet cherry) is the source of this 1716-nucleotide non-coding RNA. The record is from RefSeq and is a predicted model, not a curated record. Lineage: Eukaryota; Viridiplantae; Streptophyta; Magnoliopsida; Rosales; Rosaceae.